GUGUUUAUUUACCUUGUUGCUUCGGCGAGCCUGCCUUUUGGCUGCCGGGGGACGUCAGUCCCCGGGUCCGUGCUCGCCGGAGACACCUUAGAACUCUGUCUGAAGAUUGUAGUCUGAGAUUAAAUAUAAAUUAUUUAAAACUUUCAACAACGGAUCUCUUGGUUCCGGCAUCGAUGAAGAACGCAGCGAAAUGCGAUACGUAAUGUGAAUUGCAGAAUUCAGUGAAUCAUCGAGUCUUUGAACGCACAUUGCGCCCUCUGGUAUUCCGGAGGGCAUGCCUGUCCGAGCGUCAUUGCUGCCCUCAAGCACGGCUUGUGUGUUGGGCCCCGUCCUCCUUCCGGGGGACGGGUCCGAAAGGCAGCGGCGGCACCGCGUCCGGUCCUCAAGCGUAUGGGGCUUUGUCACUCGCUUUGUAGGCCUGGCCGGCGCUUGCCGAUCAACCAAACUUUUUAUCAGGUUGACCUCGGAUCAGGUAGGGAUACCCGCUGAACUUAAGCAUAUCAAUA
RNAcentral lists this ribosomal RNA (506 nucleotides) under Penicillium sp. FL-2010f. RNAcentral describes it as "eukaryotic LSU rRNA". The stretch from base 139 to 292 matches the Rfam family "5.8S ribosomal RNA". The record is from RNAcentral. Lineage: Eukaryota; Fungi; Ascomycota; Eurotiomycetes; Eurotiales; Aspergillaceae.